Long non-coding RNA from Bicyclus anynana (squinting bush brown), 948 nucleotides. RefSeq lists it as uncharacterized. NCBI's taxonomy places the organism in Eukaryota, Metazoa, Arthropoda, Insecta, Lepidoptera, Nymphalidae. The record is from RefSeq and is a predicted model, not a curated record. The transcript is spliced from 2 exons.
GAAUACUUCUCAAUUCAUACUGAUACCAAUAAAACAUACAAGUAUAUUAUGUUGUUUGCGUAUAUAAUUCAAAUUAAAUAAGUAAGAAAAUAAUCUUGCAGCAGUUAACAAAAGUCUCCAGAUAAGGUGAGCACAUUAUCAAUGGAUGCGCCGGAGUCAGAGUCAGGCGUGGUGUCGGGCGCGACCGCCAUAGUGUUGCGAGCGAGCAAGUUUGUCGGCGUCGCGCCGCUGCGGUUCACGCGCGGUUGCGGCGAUGGCUACCAUGUUACUGUUUGUCGCACUGCGGCGAUCAUCUCUUCUAUAGCUCUUAUAACAUUACGUUAGUUCUUCCGAUGUUAUUUAUAUUUACUACAUAGCUUAACGUCAAGCUUUAUAAAGAACGACGUGGUCGUGGUGUAAUUACAUUAAUAAUUAACGUUCUCUCCUUCAAUGAAAUGUCGCUACUUCUUUGCUUACGAAAAAUCAAUACAUUAAUAAUUAUAUACACAAAUGGCGAGCACCCGCGACUCAGUUCGCGUAAAAUUCUGUUUUUCUUGGAUUUUUCGAUAUAAAAAAUAUAAAAAGUCCAUGUUUUGCUAUGAUUCUGCUCUAUGUUACUAUUAUCAUUGUACCAAAGUUAUGUGACCGGUUUAAGGUAACAAACAGGGGUGAUGAUUUUGGCAGUCUAUAUAUGCGUUUGUAUGUUUAACCAUAGCGCCUACAUUUCUGAACCGAUAUUAAUGAGUGAGGCGAUUUAAAUCAUGGCGCGGGUGAGAUAGGCUAUUUAAAUGUUAUCAAAAUUUUGUAUGAUAGAAUUUAAGCCUCAGAUUCAACUUCUAAAAUAGUUAAACUGAGAUAAUUAUCACGUGUUUAGUAUCAAAAAGGUAUUGGCGACUACAUUACAAAUAUGUAGGUAUAUUUAUGUAUAUGUCAUAUUGUUUAAGUCAAAAUUAUAUUUUUUAUUAUUUA